UGUGUGUGUCUGUUAGUGAGUGUGUGUGUGUGUCUGUUAGUGAGUGUGUGUGUGUCUGUUUAACAGACACACACACACACUCACUAACAGACACACACACU
Pelobates cultripes (western spadefoot toad) is the source of this 101-nucleotide non-coding RNA. Lineage: Eukaryota; Metazoa; Chordata; Amphibia; Anura; Pelobatidae. The record is from the annotation of a GenBank genome assembly.